UCCAAAAAUAAAUAAACAAGAUGUUAAAAGGACUGUGUCCUAUCCAGAUCCUCCUCCAAAAUAUAAACAUCCAAAUCCCAAGCCAGGUCAACACAAACCAAAUGAAGCUGUUGCAAAUUCUACAAACAAUAAAAAAAAAGAAGAUCAACUUUUGUGUCCAACACACUUGGAUGAGACGUGCCCGACCCCUGUCUUUGUCUUCCCUACGUUAAGUUGU
Carassius gibelio (silver crucian carp) is the source of this 217-nucleotide long non-coding RNA. RefSeq lists it as uncharacterized. The transcript is spliced from 3 exons. The record is from RefSeq and is a predicted model, not a curated record. Lineage: Eukaryota; Metazoa; Chordata; Actinopteri; Cypriniformes; Cyprinidae.